RNAcentral lists this transfer RNA (69 nucleotides) under Tupaia tana (large tree shrew). Its description in RNAcentral is "tRNA-Ser". It matches the Rfam family "tRNA". From Rfam's summary of the family: Transfer RNA (tRNA) molecules are approximately 80 nucleotides in length. Their secondary structure includes four short double-helical elements and three loops (D, anti-codon, and T loops). RNAcentral also lists the same sequence under 1 other name. The record is from RNAcentral. Lineage: Eukaryota; Metazoa; Chordata; Mammalia; Scandentia; Tupaiidae.
AAGAAAGUCGUAGAGGCUACGGGGUUGGCUUGAAACCAAUUUUUGGGGGUUCGAUUCCUUCCUUUCUUG